GACGAACGCUGGCGGCGUGCCUAACACAUGCAAGUCGAGCGGGGACAUGAGGAAGCUUGCUUCCGAGUGUUCUAGCGGCGGACGGGGUGAGUAACGCGUGAGCAACCUUUCUCUCAGUGGGGAAUAACACAGGGGAAACUUGUACUAAUACCGCAUGAGACCACAGCAUCGCAUGGUGCAGGGGUCAAAGAUUUAUCGCUUGAAGAUGGACUCGCGUCUGAUUAGCUAGUUGGUGGGGUAACGGCGUCACCAAGGCGACGAUCAGUAGCCGAACUGAGAGGUUGAUCGGCCACGAUUGGGACUGAGACACGGCCCAGACUCCUACGGGAGGCAGCAGUGGGGGAUAUUGCACAAUGGGGGAAACCCUGAUGCAGCAACGCCGCGUGAGGGAACGAAGGUCUUC
This 403-nucleotide ribosomal RNA is filed under the name uncultured bacterium. RNAcentral describes it as "bacterial SSU rRNA". It matches the Rfam family "Bacterial small subunit ribosomal RNA", at positions 28 to 419 of the family's 1533-position model. The record is from RNAcentral.